CUCUCGAUAGCUCAGCUGGAAGAGCGCAAGACUGUAAUUGUACCACACCACAACGUCAUCUUGAGGUAAGCACCACACAUGCAUUCUAAAAACAGAAUGGCGCUAACCCAAUGCGGAUUAGGCCCGCGGUUCGAUCCCGCGUCGGGAGA
This 149-nucleotide transfer RNA is filed under the name Sphaerulina musiva SO2202. Its description in RNAcentral is "tRNA-Tyr". It matches the Rfam family "tRNA". From Rfam's summary of the family: Transfer RNA (tRNA) molecules are approximately 80 nucleotides in length. Their secondary structure includes four short double-helical elements and three loops (D, anti-codon, and T loops). Lineage: Eukaryota; Fungi; Ascomycota; Dothideomycetes; Mycosphaerellales; Mycosphaerellaceae. The record is from RNAcentral.